CUGCCCUCUACAGACCAAAUAACUAAUUUGCGAUCUGGAAGAUAACCACACCUCUAGUGCUUCUAUUGGGUUAUCAACUGAUGACGUACAGAGAGUCUGGCCCUUUAAAAGUUAAGACAAAGGGAAGAUAGAAGAUACGAAGGAGGCAGAUGCAAGAUAUGCAAAGGAGAGAAAAGAGAGGAAUUGGAAGUUUGGGGACUCCAACCUCCAUGCAGAGACACAUCCAAAUAAAUUCCUG
Non-coding RNA from Pelobates cultripes (western spadefoot toad), 238 nucleotides. The record is from the annotation of a GenBank genome assembly. Lineage: Eukaryota; Metazoa; Chordata; Amphibia; Anura; Pelobatidae.